Molecule: transfer RNA, 71 nt
Filed under: Phaeoacremonium minimum UCRPA7
Lineage: Eukaryota; Fungi; Ascomycota; Sordariomycetes; Togniniales; Togniniaceae
Description: tRNA-Pro (TGG) (tRNA-Pro-TGG-1-1)
Rfam family: tRNA
About the family: Transfer RNA (tRNA) molecules are approximately 80 nucleotides in length. Their secondary structure includes four short double-helical elements and three loops (D, anti-codon, and T loops). Further hydrogen bonds mediate the characteristic L-shaped molecular structure. tRNAs have two regions of fundamental functional importance: the anti-codon, which is responsible for specific mRNA codon recognition, and the 3' end, to which the tRNAs corresponding amino acid is attached (by aminoacyl-tRNA synthetases). tRNAs cope with the degeneracy of the genetic code in two manners: having more than one tRNA (with a specific anti-codon) for a particular amino acid; and 'wobble' base-pairing, i.e. permitting non-standard base-pairing at the 3rd anti-codon position.
Source: RNAcentral
GCGGGCUUGGUCUAGUGGUACGAUCCUUGCUUUGGGAGCAAGUGGCCCCAGUUCAAGCCUGGGAGCUCGCC